Molecule: ribosomal RNA, 826 nt
Filed under: uncultured bacterium
Lineage: Bacteria
Description: bacterial SSU rRNA
Rfam family: Bacterial small subunit ribosomal RNA
Source: RNAcentral
GAGUUUGAUCAUGGCUCAGAACGAACGCUGGCGGCGUGGCUAAGACAUGCAAGUCGAACGAACUAUUUAAUUGAGUAAUCGAGAGAGUAGUUAGUGGCGAAAGGGUGAGGAAUAGAUAGGUAACGUACCCCGAUCACCGGGAUAGUGUCUGGAUACUUCGGUAUCCUUCCGAAAGGGGCAGUAAUACCGGAUGACGUCAUAAACUUUAAGGUUUAUGACCAAAGAUUUAUCGGAUUGGGAGCGGCCUAUCUCCUAUCAGCUAGUUGGUGAGGUAAUGGCUCACCAAGGCAGCGACGGGUAGCGGGACUGAGAGGUUGGCCCGCCACAUCGGGACUGAGACACUGCCCGGACCUCCACGGAGGGCUGCAGUAACGAAUAUUGCGCAAUGGGCGAAAGCCUGACGCAGCGACGCCGCGUGUAGGAUGAAGCCCCUCGGGGUGUAAACUACUGUCAGGGGUAAGAAAGUGCGCUUCGGCGCAUUGAUCGAACCCAGAGGAAGUCACGGCUAACUUCGUGCCAGCAGCCGCGGUAAUACGAAGGUGGCAAGCGUUGUUCGGAAUCACUGGGCUUAAAGCGUGUGUAGGCGGAAAGGUAAGCGUCAUGUGAAAUCCCCCGGCUUAACCGGGGAAUUGCGUGGCGAACGGCCUUUCUUGAGGCAGGUAGGGGUGUGUGGAACUCUUGNUGGAGCGGUGGAAUGCGUAGAUAUCAAGAGGAACGCCCGUGGAGAAAUCGGCACACUGGNNCUGAUCUGACGCUGAGACACGAAAGCGUGGGGAGCGAACGGGANUAGAUACCCCGGUAGUCCACGCCNUAAACGAUGUCUACU